CCCACUUUAGGGUUAGGGCUAGGGCUCGAAAAAACAAUUUAUUUAUGCUGUAGGGUUUGAAUUUCUACUUACCUCGUGUGUAGGACAGGGGCUCGAAUGCUUGAAACGUCUGCACAUCUUUUAUUUGCAGACGAAAUCGUUAUUAAGGCAGGCAGGAAUGUCGAUCCGGUGUUACAUCAUUAGUAAAUCUUCAGGUCGGUUCUGAAGAUGAUCAGAUGAAGAAAAAAAUAACUGCAACAAAAUGAGAUCUAAUGAUCACUGUUAUUUAAGUCUCUGAUGAUCUCUUCAUCUUUUUGGGGGAAAGUGAUGAAUGCAAUUUGGUCCGUGUUUAUGACUCACUCUGAUCUCAAAUAAUUGCACUUUAUUUGUGAUUCCCAACGAUUAGCAUUCAUAAUUUGUUUUGCAAAGCUCGAGGAUUGUUUGCCCUAGGGCAAUAUACGCUAUGCUGAGAUCUACUCUUUAAUGAUGAAAGAUCAAUAAACUGAGAGCUAUUUUUGUUAGGGUUAUGUGUAGUUAAUUUUCUUCGCAGUUAUAGAGUUUGUAUGUUAAUAUAAUUUUUAUCGCCUUUGUUAGGUUUUCUUUGGAGUUUUCUAUUUAUGUGAAACCUGUUUAAAGUCCUGUUAGGGUUUUUGUCCUGUUUUCAACUGGUAGGUAUUCCGUUCUUUAUUUUGUGAUAAGGGUAUCUGUUUAUGGUUUCUAAUUAGGGUCUCUGCUUUUUUUGUUAUAGUUCUACAUUGAUAUCUGUUUUUGGUGGCUUAGUUUGAUAUCUGUGUUGAUUUUGCACACCGAGAGUGUUUUGUUGGGGUUUUUCAUCUAUUGCUGGUGUAGUUCUAUAUGGGUUUAUUUGCUACUAGUGCUAAAUUAACUGGUGUUCUGCAAUGAGGAAUGUUAUAAAAUUUCACAUGUUAGACUACUGAGAUGGAUACCAUCGAUGAGUUAGCAACUUUAUUCUGAGCAGAACAUGACAUAUAAAAGCUCAUUUGUAAACUAUUUUUACUUCGUUAUUAAUUUCCUUUUUGCUAAUUGUUAUUGCUUUCAUAAAAGCUUCA
Molecule: long non-coding RNA, 1049 nt
Organism: Cryptomeria japonica (Japanese cedar)
Lineage: Eukaryota; Viridiplantae; Streptophyta; Pinopsida; Cupressales; Cupressaceae
Exons: 2
Source: RefSeq, a predicted model, not a curated record